AGCUACAUGGGUCACAAAUCGGA
RNAcentral lists this non-coding RNA (23 nucleotides) under Arabidopsis thaliana (thale cress). Lineage: Eukaryota; Viridiplantae; Streptophyta; Magnoliopsida; Brassicales; Brassicaceae. The record is from RNAcentral.